GGUCAGGUCCUAUGCUUUCAAGCCAAGCCCAACCCCGCCAGGUCCGGAAGGAAGCAACGGUCAGCUUGGUCUUGAAGAGCAUAGUAAACUUGACCCCU
This 98-nucleotide signal recognition particle RNA is filed under the name Bacteroidetes/Chlorobi group bacterium MS-B_bin-24. RNAcentral's name for it is "signal recognition particle sRNA small type". It matches the Rfam family "Bacterial small signal recognition particle RNA". Rfam says of the family: The signal recognition particle (SRP) is a universally conserved ribonucleoprotein involved in the co-translational targeting of proteins to membranes. The record is from RNAcentral. Lineage: Bacteria; Pseudomonadati.